This 1005-nucleotide long non-coding RNA is filed under the name Musa acuminata (dwarf banana). RNAcentral describes it as "long non-coding RNA (MACU_LNC001914)". Lineage: Eukaryota; Viridiplantae; Streptophyta; Magnoliopsida; Zingiberales; Musaceae. The record is from RNAcentral.
CUCCUGCAAGCAACAGACAACACAGUCUCCACAGGUAAUUAACAAUUGAUGAUAGGGUUCCUGAUAACCUCCCCGUCCUUCCCUGAUGCUUAGCCCAUUGCAUAUUUCUGGGUCCAGCUCCUUGCAGUGGCCUCAUACUUGGCUCUGUCUGUCUUGUACAUAUGGGCAAUCUCUGGAACCAACGGGUCAUCAGGGUUUGGGUCUGUUAAAAGGGAGCAGAUAGACAACAGUACCUGUCGAAGCACACAUUACGGCUUGCUUAAGCUCAAACAAAAUAUUUUUCAAAUGAUUGACAAGAUAGGAAAGAAAAAGAAAAAGGAUAUUCACAAGCUCUUGAUGGAACCAUAGACACAGUUACUUUGUUUGGACCGACCAACACGGGUUGUACCUGACAUCUCCUACUUGCAGGUUAGCACUUAGUAGUGCCCCUUGAUUUGACCAAACCAGGCUCUUGGAUUUGCUUAAAUUGCUCAUUUCUCUGAGCUUUUCUUAACAGGACUACUAGCAGUUAUAACUCUAAUGAAUUGAGGAUGCUGAGGUUCCAACUUAGUAAAUGACAUUGCAAAGCGAGGGAGAACAGUAACCUUGGAAAUAGUUAAUGCUGGACUCCAUUGCUCCUUCAAAAUGUCAAGGCAGAUGCUUCCAUUGCUAUUGAUGUUUGGAUGGAAAACCUUGGUCCUGAAAGAAACCUGCAGAACACAUAAGUUAGACAAAUGGCAUAGUUGACUGCUGAAACUUGUCCAGUGACAAAUACAACCAAUUGUAACAAAAUAUGGUUAUUCAAGUUAGUGAGAUGUUCUUCAAGAUAAAAUAACGGCAUUAUAGGCAAAACACAUCUUAAGCCCACAUUUGGUAUGAUAAUAGAUUUGUAUUCUUUUGAUCCUUAGUUGUAUUUCUCCGCCGGUCACAGUCAAGUGAUGGUUCCUCGUCAUGUUCUGUCAUCAUCUAUGGCUGUGUAACCUAUCCGAUAAUCAAGAUUUAUCCUGAUUUAUUGGUAUUACAUCC